AUUUAUACUUUGUUUUGUUCUUUGGACAAUUUAUACUUUUUUUAUUAAAUGGACAAAUUUAUUUUUCUAAUAAGAUAAAAUGGAUAAUUUAGUACUUUGUUACUAUAUUUAUUAAUAGAAAUAUUUCAUUUAAGUUAAUCUUUUUGAAGUUUUUAAAAUGAAAUGCUUCAGAUUUUUGUAUAUUAAAACCCAAGCUUCCACCUUCAAAGGCAACACCUCUCCUUAAAUAGUGCAUAAAAUGGGUCAAAAACCAGCUCCCAUGAGUCUGCAGGUUGCGCCCAACGCAGGAUUUCCUACGCCUCACGCAGCAGGUUCGUCCAGCAUCCCAGAAGCUGCGCCCAAAACACGGUGCCACAAAUGUCUUUCAGCCAACAGGCAUGCGCCUAGCGUAGGUCACAAGACCAAAAAUGCCUAAAUUUUUCGGGGAGCUUGCCAACUCUUGACUUCUUAGCAGUAUGAUCAUUUGGAUAUAGUUGAAUGUCUUAUUUACGCAAACAAAUUUCCUUGAAGGUGUCUUAUUUUGCUUGGAGACUUUUGCGUGACAAGUUGCCAACUAAAGUAAACUUGGCAAUCCAAGACAUCAUCACUCCAGAAGCUCGGUCUUGUGUAUUCGGUUGCGGUGCAAUGGAAUCAGAUCAACAUUUAUUUAUCUCA
Trifolium pratense (red clover) is the source of this 654-nucleotide long non-coding RNA. RefSeq lists it as uncharacterized. The transcript is spliced from 2 exons. Lineage: Eukaryota; Viridiplantae; Streptophyta; Magnoliopsida; Fabales; Fabaceae. The record is from RefSeq and is a predicted model, not a curated record.